RNAcentral lists this ribosomal RNA (848 nucleotides) under uncultured fungus. RNAcentral describes it as "bacterial SSU rRNA". It matches the Rfam family "Eukaryotic small subunit ribosomal RNA", at positions 564 to 1435 of the family's 1831-position model. Lineage: Eukaryota; Fungi. The record is from RNAcentral.
GUGCCAGCAGCCGCGGUAAUUCAGCACCAAUAGCGUAUAUUAAAGUUGUUGUGGUUAAAAAGCUCGAAGUUGAACCUUGGGCCUGGCUGGCCGGUCCGCCUCACCGCGUGCACUGGUCCGGCCGGGCCUUUCCCUCUGUGGAACCCCAUACCCUUCACUGGGCGUGGCGGGGAAACAGGACAUUUACUUUGAAAAAAUUAGAGUGCUCCAGGCAGGCCUAUGCUCGAAUACAUUAGCAUGGAAUAAUAAAAUAGGACGCGCGGUUCUAUUUUGUUGGUUUAUAGGACCGCCGUAAUGAUUAAUAGGGACAGUCGGGGGCAUCAGUAUUCAACUGUCAGAGGUGAAAUUCUUGGAUCAGUUGAAGACUAACUACUGCGAAAGCAUUUGCCAAGGAUGUUUUCAUUAAUCAGGAACGAAGGUUAGGGGAUCGAAGACGAUCAGAUACCGUCGUAGACUUAACCAUAAACUAUGCCGACUAGCGAUCGGACGGCGUUAUUCAUGACCCGUUCGGCACCUUACGAGAAAUCAAAGUGCUUGGGCUCCAGGAGGAGUAUAGUCGCAAGGCUGAGACGUAGAGAAAUUGACAGAAGGACACCACCAGCCCUGGAGCCUGCGGCUUAAUUUGACUCAACACGCGGAUACUCAUCAGGGUCCUAGACACAAUACGGAUUGACAGAUUGAGAGCUCCUAUCCUUGAUUUUGUUGCUUUGGCGGGUGCAUCCGUCGUUUCUUAAUUCGGAGGAGUUGACCUUGCUUGCCUUGAUUGCGAUAUAGCGAACCGAGACCUUCUAUCUGUCUUAAUAUUGCCGGCUUUGAGGUGCCGGACAGAUGAAGCUGGCUGUGACUAC